GUACUACUAUAUAAGAAGCGCUUUGAGCUUUGGAUGAGCACACUGCAAAACCAAGUUCUAAACUUUCAUCACAAACACUAGCUUGCAACACAUUAAAGGGUGCAGAGAAUUACUUAUCAGAGAUGGAGAGUUCCACAGCCAAUGCCACUUCCAGGAGAAUGGUGAACGCCGGAGACUUUUCGCCUAUUCCGAAGAGGGGUCAAGUGAAGAUAGGGAUAGUGGUAGGAUUAGCAAACUCAGUUGCUUCCAUCUUCACUCCUCAGCGUCCAUCAAUGUACAAGCAGCAUUCUUCUAGUUAACUCGUAACUAUUGGGAAUAGUACGUGCUUGUGUUGUGAAGAUGCCUAGCCGCAGAUAGCUUUUGCCUCUUGAUUUUCCAUUCUUUUUUAUUUCGGAAAAGAUUUGAGCUUCAUGUACUGGAUCUUAAAGAGUUUGUAUAUUGUAGAUUUUUGCAUCAGAUAUGAAAUGGAGUCUGUAUUCUAUCUCUUUUGUUCACAACUUGGCUAGGAUCGGUACUCAAUCUCAAUUAAUUAACCUCUACGAUUAAGAAGCAUUUCAAGCUAAUUAAUUGAAACUGGAACCCCAAAAGAACAAGUUUAUCAAAUUAAAGUCGUUUGUCGUCUCAAAUCGGCCGUCACAUAGGAGCUAAUAUUGCCUACUCGACUAGCUAGGCAUUGGGUAGAAUAUGCAAUACUGUCAAAGGCAAAAGAACACUGUAAACUCGAUCAGAGAACUUUCUAUAAUUUGUAUGCAAGUAAUGUAACAGAGGGAGCGUAGUCAUUGUUUGAGCCCAGUGGGUAUUUUGGUCCAAGACUCGGGGUACGUUUUAGAUAACAUUUGGGCCAGUACCUGUGGCCCUUUUUUAAUGCGAAGCCCACGAAGGGUGGCGAGGUCUGGCAACACGCGAGCUGGAGUUUUGCAAGGAUUCUGAUACCCCGCGGGAUUCGAUGUCCUCGCGAGGUCCUUUGUUUCAGUUCGUGUAGGAUUUUGCAGUGCAUGGUGAGGUAGAGUUGGAAAUGGACUGUAGUACUCCGCGGGAUAGGAUCGCUUAGUGUUCGAGUUCGCGUACGACGCUACAGUGAGAUGAUGCGGAGCGGUGAGCGAGACCUAGGCGAGAUCUGUUCUGGACAUGUGUUGCAUGGACCGCGCGGCUCGCGAGCUGGUCCUAUCCUUGUGGAAUUCUAAUUGGUGAGUCCGAGUGGGUUGUGAUUAGGUCUCUGCGAAUUGCUUGCGGAUCGCUAUAUAAAGGAGUUCGAGCAGACCUUCUAACACACACAAUCAAAUCAUACAAAACAAUUACAAAUCCUCGAGCAUCCUCAAAACCCUAAGUUCUAAGUGCACUUCGCCUUAGUUCUCAGACCCCUCCCUGAUUCGCCUUUCUCCCUAUUUGUUGCUCUGCUCGCUCUAACAGUGAGUAUCGAUUCACAAGUGACAAGAGGUUUUACUCGUAAUCCCUCGUCCGCGAGGUGGCACCGGUAACCCCUUCUUCGCUUGUUUAGAAGUCUAGCCGCAGCGCAUUUCUUUCCUCGUCCACGAGGUGGCACGCCCCGCAAUCUCCUUUUUAACUUUUGAGUCACCGGAGUUCCGACUCUGCCCCUGUUAAGACGCGUGGCCAAAACAGUCAUCAUCAGACAUUCAGACUCAUGGACCAAUGUCCACACGACAUUGAUCAAUAUAUUCAAGCCUCACCGUCCAAACUGAUGGGAGAGACUAGUACGAGUUAAUGUUGAUCACAUCAUUAUGUUUCAUAAAAGGCAUAAAUGGCCUUUUAUUUAAUAUCAUCAACCAAACCCUAAUAUCAUAAUCCCACACUGCUUAGAUCCGAAUCUAUGCCUAUUUAACACCAUCAAACAUAAUUUUCAACAUGUGUAGAUCUUGGGAAGAAGUACAUGCAUGAACCUCAUUAGUCCUUUUCAGUACAAUUUAAAUUCAAUGAAUGUUGGUUUCAUCAUGUACCUUUGAAAUUAUAACAUAUGGUCCUAACUAAUUAUUCAAUUCAAAUAAAACUUUCUGAUUGUGAAGUGUUUUAAGAUCACACUCUUUCUCAUGUUUUUCUUUAAAUUAAUUCCCGUCCUCCACUCUCNGAAAUACAGCCAUAUAUAUAUAUAUAUAUAUAUAUAUAUAUAUAUAUAUANNNNNNNNNNNNNNNNNNNNUAAAGUAAGUCACUCCCUUCACUAAACAAAGAAAGGUUCUUCUAAACAGAGAUUACAAGAUCUUCUAAGAUUAGUGAAGGCUAUUUGAGUUUGUUCACCUUAAGUAUAAAUUAAGUAUAUAAUUGCAUGAAAUAUCCCAACUUUUACUAAUCACAUUGGAACAUUGGCUCAUAAAGAAUUGGCUUCUUUGAUCAAAAUAAUUGGCUUCUUUUUUGUAGUGGGAUGGAGCUUUAUGAGCAUGUGACUAAUUAGGUGGAUUUGUUCAUACUUCAUAGCAUGUAGGAACCAAGAAUUUAAAAGGGUUAAAACUGCCCUACUUCAGUUCUUUAACUUGAUUAACUAAACAUCUCUUAUAAUUAGGUGUGCUAAUCAUCUGUUUGUUUAUAAAUACAUAAACUAGUAUGCCUUCAGAUACCAAAUUAACCCUAGCUAGUUUGAUAUAUAGCUGAUAGUUUUAUUAGACCAGUCUAGAAAUGUGAUGUACUAAUGAAAUUGUAGCAAGUAAACUCAACAGCUGGCUAGCUAGGUCAAUAAUCAAAAUUGAAUUGCCAACUGAAAAUCAAAUUCCAUGAGCAAAGACUUGAGAAUGAGACUGUUUUUCCUUUCUCAUUACUUUUUGAACCCCUUUCUCAUAUUUGGUUAGUGUAAUUGAUUAACUUAAUUGUGCCCUAUGUGCUGCAUAUGAACCAUGCUCCCUCAAUAAUUGCACACACAUCUAUUAUUAAACUAAGUAUCAGGUUCAAUUAGCAGCCUUAAUUUUGUUCAUAAUCUAAAUCAUUAGAUACGAUUUGUUCCCUUAAACACAAUCUGACAUGAUAAAUUAUAAUACUGUGUGCAUUAGGCUCAUACAUGAAAGUACAAUGAAUCAAGGUGCUUCCUCUAUCAGAGUCGGUGAAUGGUAUUGGCAUUGCUCCAUAAUUGUACUUGAUGAGAAUAAUAUGAACGAUGGGAUAAACACAAACUUAGAUAACUAGCAUUUCAUGUCAAUAAUUUUUCUUCUAUUCUUAUACUUGUUUUCUAACACAUAAGAAAAUGCGAUACGCUAAUAAUAUAGAAGAUUAAAUUAGUUCUGUAAAAUUAUUAGAAGAUAAGAACACUAGCUAAUUGUCUAUAAGUUCGAUAAAAAAUCAUUGUAUAGUUAAUUUAACAAAUCAAACAUAGAAAUGAAUGAUUUUAGAUCGUCGAAGUAAAACAAUAAAUUCAAACUUCUUAUCUCUCUAUCACAUCAUAUCAAUUUUAGAGAAGACGUGGGCAUGAAGAAAGAAAGAAACAAAGAAGGUUUGGUCCAUGCCAGAUCCAGAGCUAGCUUUGGCCCUUUGGGAAAAAGAUGCGCUAACAAACAAAAGAGCUGCCUCUGGGAAUCUGGAUAGGAGUGCUCAGUCAAUGAGUAAGAUAGUUCUUGUUAUAAGAACCAAUUUGACCACGUGCUUAAUUUGGUAUAGUUAUCCCACUAACAAUUUUCAUGAUUAAAAGUUGUUGCGGUUAUUGUUGGGAGAGUGACUUUCCAAGGUCAAGUCGCCCUGAAGAUAAGCUUUUCCGGUUGCGAAUUCAAGGUGAAAGCCUUGGCAUUUUAUAAUGGAAACCCGACAAGACCCACAGUGUUCACAUAGAACGUGAACUUUGGGAGAGUCAAGAUUGUCUUGUCAAACAAAAAAAUUUGCAGUCAAAUUCUACGAGCAAGAUUAACGUUAAAAAACGAUGAGGGUGGUCAGAGUCUUUGAGCACUAUAUAAAGCACGAGGAAGAUGACCAAAAUCACAAACUCAAACACAGCUUCAAGUUUCAAGCUUUUCUUCUUCCUCUCUCUCUCUCUCUCUCUUAGUUUCGGUGACUUGUUUUGGAUAUCAAAGCAAACCCAGAAGCAAAAACUAGAUGGAAGGUGCAAGGAGUGCUAUGAUCAACGGUGGGAACUUGUCUCAGAGGAUUUCUGGCCGUCUGAUCCCCAAGAGGGGUCAGGUGAAGAUGGCCAUAGUUGGGAUUCUGCUUCACUCUGUUUCUUCUAUGUUCUCUCACCGUCGUGGUGGUGCUGAUGCUCCUCAUCAUUUCUCUUAGAUGUUUUGUCUGUGUGGGGAUUUCUAGAUGAGUGGUUGCAGAGUUUGAGCUUCUGUUUUGUGCAUCAAAGGUUGUACAAAGUUCUAAACUUUCAUCACAAACACUAGCUUACUACACAUUAAAGGGUGCAGAGAAUUACUUAUCAGAGAUGGAGAGUUCCACAGCCAAUGCCACUUCCGGGAGAAUGGUGAACGCCGGAGACUUUUCGCGUCGGUGUCAUGCGCGGCGCCCUAUUCCGAAGAGGGGUCAAGUGAAGAUAGGGAUAGUGGUAGGAUUGGCAAACUCAGUUGCUUCUAUCUUCACUCCUCAGCGUUGAUCCAUGAACAAGCAGCAUUCUUCUAGUUAACUCGUAACUUGUGAAGAUGCCUAGCUGCAGAUAGCUUUUGCCUCUUGAUUUUCCCUUCUUGUUUUUUUUUUCGGAAAAGAUUUGAGCUUCAUGUACUGGAUCUUAAAGAGUUUGUAUAUUGUAGAUUUUUGCAUCAGAUAUGAAAUGGAGUUCGUAUUCUAUCUCUUUUGUUCACAACUUGGCUCGGAUCGGUAUUCAAUCUCAAUUAAUUAACAUCUAGGAUUAAGAAGCAUUUCAAGCUAAUUGAAACCCGAACCCCAAAAGAACAAAUUUAUCAAAUUAAAGUAACGCGUUGUCGCCCCAAAUGGACAGUCACAUAGGAGCUAAUAUCGCGCCUACCUGACUAGGCAUUGGGCAGAACAUGUAAUACUGUCAAAGGCAAAGGAAACACCAUAAACUUAAGAAAAAUUUCUAUAAUUUGUAUGUAAGAGAGGGAGCGUAGUCAUCAUCAGACUCAUGAACCGAUUUCCACACUACGUUGAUCGAUAUAUUCAAGCCUCAUAAUGACCUUUAUUUUAGGGAUAAUGACCUAAUGCACAAAAACAACAAAAUUAAAACCCACUUGAAUGAAAAUCUGUUUUUAUGCCCAUUUCAAUUAAUAUUACACAAAUAAUUAUUAUACUCUCUCAAUUACCUUUUCUGAUCUCUCUUUUUACCCACACAAACCUCAUCCUUCUCUCUCUCUCUCUNNNNNNNNNNNNNNNNNNNNACCACACUCUCUCUCUCUCUCUCUCUCUCUCUCUCUCUCUCUCUCUCUCUCUCUCUCAUCCACGAGCACAAGGAACACAACGUCUCAAUUCCGUCAGAUCCAUGAUGACCACGACGACGAGGACGUCUCUCAGUUCCGGUGCGGCAACAUCCGGAUUCAUAUCUCAUGUCGGCCGACGAUGACGCAAUCAUAGAUCGAACGCUCAGUUUUGAGCGAUGCGAGCGAAUAAGAAGCCGGAGAUGACCGGGUCGGAGGUCUUCAAAACAAAGCCUGCAUUCAGAUCUCUACAAAAGCAGAGAAUCAAACUUCGACGUUUGAUUCCUUCCCAGAGACUGAGACCUCGUCGCUCGUCGCUCUGGCGCUCUACGCUCGCCAGUCAUUGCUCAACGCUCGGCCUAACUGAAGCAGAUCUGGUCCUGAGCCUCCUCCCAAGCGCUGACGACAAAUGUAGUAGUGAUUUUUUGUUGUUAAACUACUCUCUCUCUCUCUCUGUGGAAACUACUCUCUCCCAUCAAGCAUCGCCGACGAUGACGUCGGUCGAGAUCGAGGACGCAUCUCGACAAUGACGCACCACUGCUAUGGCCGUAGUCGAGCCUAUGCAUGAUCUUGUGGUCGUCCACAAUUUUUACGAUGAAGAUAGAGACAAGGUGAUAUCUUUUGAUAUAUUUCUUCUUAUUGGUCAGUAAACUGUUUAUUAGAAGUUUAUUGCCUUCCAGUAAAAGUUUACUGCCCCCAGUAAAAUCCAGUAGAAGUUUACUGCUUUCCCAGUAGAAGUUUACUACCUCCUAACAAAACAUUUUUCAUCAUUACUGCCUCUCAAUAAGGUUUUAUUGACCUUAGUAGAAGUUUACUGUCCCUCAGUAAAAUCUCAGUAGAAGUUUACUGCUCCCCGGUAGAAGUUUAAUAUCUCCCAGUAAAAUAUUUUUCAUCAUUACUACCCUUCAAUAAGGUUUUAUUGACCUCAGAGAAAUUUACCGUAUUUAAGUAAAAAUUACUUGAAGAGAGGUUGAGGGGAUGGAACUGAAGCCAAAUUAACCUACUAUGUGUAUAAUCUCACCAAGAUUCAUAUGAAGAAUUAUCAUCAACCAAACCCUAAUAUCAUAAUCCCACUGCAUAUAGAUUCCCACCAUGAUCAAACAUAAUUUUUAACAUGUGUACUGUUCUUACUUCUUAGAUCUUAGGAAGAAGUACAUGCAUGAACCUCAUCAUUAGUCCUUUUCAGUACAAUUUUUAAAUUCAAUGAAUGUUGGUUUCAUCAUGUACCUUUGAAAUUAUAACAUAUGGUCCUAACUAAUUAUACAAUUCAAAUAAAACUUUCGGAUUGUGAAAUGUUUUAAGAUCACACUCUUUCUCAUGAUUUUCUUGAACUUUAUUCCUGUCCUCCACUCUCAGAAAAUAACAGCCAUAUAUUAAGGUUUCUCUAAUAAAGUAAGUCACUCCCUUCACUAAACAAAGAAAGGUUCUUCUAAACAAAGAUUACAAUAUCUUCUAAGAUUAGUGAAGGCUAUUUGAUUUUGUUCACCUUAAGUAUAAAAUAUAUAAUUGCAUGAAAUAUCCCAACUUUUACUAAUCACAUUGGAACAUUGGCUCAUAGAGAAUUGGCUUCUUUUCUGUAGUGGGAGCUUUAUGAGCAUGUGACUGAUUAGGUGGACUUGUUCAUAGCAUGUAGGAACCAAGAAUUUAAAAGGGUUAAAAUUGCCCUACUUAAGUUCUUUAACUUGAUUAACUAAACAUCUCUUAUAAUUAGGUGUGUUAAUCAUCUGUUUGUUUAUAAAUAUAUAAACAAGUAUGCCUUCAGAUACCAAACCCUAGCUAGUAGCUAGAUAUAUAGCUGAUAGUUUUGUUAAACCAGUCUAGAAAUGUGAUGUACUAAUGAAAUUGUAGCAAGUAAACUCAACAGCUGGCUAGCUAGGUCAAUAAUCAAAAUUGAAUUGCCAACUGAAAAUCAAAUUCUAUGAGCAAAGACUUGAGAAUGAGACUGUUUUUCCUUUCUCAUAACUCUUUGAACCCCUUUCUCAUAUUUGGUUAGUGUAACUGAUUAACUUAAUUGUGCCCUAUGUGCUGCAUAUGAACUAUAUGUGCUCCCUCUAUAAUUGCACACACAUCUAUUAUUAAACUAAGUAUCAGGUUCAAUUGGCAGCCUUAAUUUUGUUCAUAAUCUAAAUCAUUAGAUACGAUUUGUUGCCUUAAACACAAUCUGACAUGAUUAAUUAUAAUACUGUGUGCAUUAGGCUCAUACAUGAAAGUACAGUGAAUCAAGGUGCUUCCUCUAUCAGAUUCAGUGAAUGUAUUGGCAUUGCUCCAUAAUUGUACUUGAGAAUAAUAUAUAUGAACGACGGGAUAAACACAGACUCAGAUAACUAGCAUUUCAUGUCAAUAAUUUGUCUUCUAUUCUUGUACUUGUUUUCUAACACAUAAGAAAAUUAGAUACUCUAAUAAUGUAGAAGAUUAAUUUAGUUCCGUACAAAUUAUUAGAAGAUAAGAACACUAGCUGAUUGUCUAUAAGUUCGAUACAAAAUCAUCGUAUAGUUAAUUUGACACAUCAAACAUAAAAAUGAACAAUUUUAGAUCGUCGAAACUAGAUCUCGUGUACUUACUCAAAGUAGAAAAACAAUAAAUUCCAUUUUUUAUCUCUCUAUCAUAAAACUCGACUUCAGUGACAAAGACCGGUCACAUCGUAUCAAUCAUAAAAAUGAACAAUUUUAGAUAGUCGAAACUAAAUCACGUGUACCCGCUCAUAGUAGAAAAACAAUAAAUUCCACUUCCUAUCUCUCUAUCACAUCAUAUCAAUUUUAGAGAAGACGUGGGCAUGAAGAAAGAAAGAAACAAAGAAGGUUGGGUCCAUGCCAGAUGCAGAGCUAGCUUUGGCUCUAUGGGAAAAAGAUGCGCUAACAAACAAAAGAUCAGCUGCCUCUGGGAAUCUGGAUAGUAGUGCUCAGUCAAUGAGUAAGAUAGCUCUUGUUAUAAGAACCAAUUUGACCUCGUGCUUAAUUUGUUAUAGUUAUCCCACUAGCAAUUUUCAUGAUUAAAAGUUGUUGCGGUUCUUGUUGGGAGAGUGACUUUUCAAGGUCAAGUCGCCGUGAAGAUAAGCUUUUCCGGUUGCGAAUUCAAGUUGAAAGCUUUGGCCGUUUUGGCUUUUUAUAAUGGAAACCCGACAAGACCCACAGUGUUCACAUUGAACGUGACCAAACUUGGGGGAGUCAAGAUUGUCUUGUUUUCAAACAAAAAAAUUUGCAGUCAAAUUCUACGAGCAAGAUUAACGUUAAAAAACGAUGAGGGUGGUCAGGGUCUUUGAGCCUAUAUAAAGCACGAGGAAGAUGACCAAGAAUCACAAACUCAAACACAGCUUCAAGUUUCAAGCUUUUCUUCUUCCUCUCUCUCUCUCUCUUAGUUUCAGUGACUUGUUUUGGAUAUCAAAGCAAACCCAGAAGCAAAAACUAGAUGGAAGGUGCAAGGAGUGCUAUGAUCAACGGUGGGAACUUGUCUCAGAGGAUCUCUGGCCGUCUGAUCCCCAAGAGGGGUCAGGUGAAGAUGGCCAUAGUUGGGAUUCUGCUUCACUCUGUUUCUUCUAUGUUCUCUCACCGUCGUGGUGGUGCUGAUGCUCGUCAUCUCUCUUAGCUGUUUUGUCUGUGUGGGGAUUUCUAGAUGAGUGGUUGCAGAGUUUGAGCUUUUGUUUUGUGCAUCAAAGGUUGUACAAAGUUUUGUAGUUUACAGAUUAGUGAAUUGUAGUUGGUUAUCUUUGGUUUUGAUCUAGUAUUUCGAUCAACAAUCUCGAUUGUCUCUAUGUAACUUCCAAAAUCAAAGAGUGAAUCUUUAGACUGAAAUUCAUGUGGGUUUUACUAUUUAGCGCAUCAUUUGUUGCACAAGAAGCAUUUAACUGGCAUUGUGAUCUUUAAAUCUAAACAAAAUGGCACCCAAUUCCACAUAGGGAGAACAAAGUUGAAGAAAGCCUAAAUCCAACUCAAGAGACUUGGCCUUCUAACAUGUAUAUAAGUAUAAGCCUUGGAAGAUUAGUUGGGAAAGGAAUAAGUAGUUGUGUUGCUUCAACCUAUUCUUGAGUUGUCUCUGCCAAACACAAGCGUGGUAGCCCAGUUCACAGCAACAUAGAACCUGUUCCUCCAACUUACAACCCGGGUAAGAUAAGCAGAGCGCCAGAUGAACCAGCUAACAAAUCCAGCAUGGGAUAUGCCCUUUGAAUCCUGCAACAAAAUUGUAGUUAGAAGUUUAAUUGAAAGCCUAGUUUUUGGUUUUGAAGCACAUUCAUCAUCGUUUAGAGUAACAGUUUUGAUGAACACUGACCUUGGAUUUGCGCAGAUCAACGAGUGCCUUAUAACUCCCAACGGAUGCCAUGCUUCCGAGGUGCUUGUAGACAAAAGGUUCUCCCAGAGAGAUAUCUUUUGCACUCAUGGCCUUACCUGCCUCCUUCCCAAUCCUGUUAAACAACUCCACCAGAAAUUUUCCUUGCCUUUCUGCCACCUAUUUCAGACAAUGUGAAAUGAAUUGUAAUUAGGAGUUUGAAAAUAUACAGUCUUGAACUUGUUGAGCACUGAGCGAAAGAAAUGCCAGAACAAUAACAAUGUCACCCCAAGCAGUUAGAUUUUGUUUUUCCAUUUUCAUAGGGAACAAAAAGUAGAGCUUCUCAACCAGAUAUGAAAAUCCAAGAUGGUCUUGCAGUUGCCUCCAUCUGUUUUAUCAGGCUUUUGACAGUAGCAAGACAGAUAGCACAGACAUAUAACAAUCUUGCUAGCAAUGCAUUAUUCGUAGAGCACAAAGCUGGUUCUAACCUGAGCUAAAGCUGGAAGCACUGGCAUCCCAGUCUCUUCAAGAAAACCUGCGCAAUCUCCAAGUGCAAACACAUCUUCCACAGAAGGAACUCGCAUCCACCCAUCGACACCAACCCUGCAUCAGUCAAUAGUAAUUGUUAAAGAUCGUUAAUCCAACAGAAUUCAGUUGUCCACCAAUGAAGACAAGAUAAGAGAAAGAUAUGCUGGUGCAUAUACCUUCCACCAGGGGACUUGGGAAGAUUAAGUGAUUUCACAAACUGUGAGGGACCAACCCCAGUAGACCAGACCAAAAGGCCAUAUGGAACAUCAGUUCCAUCAUUAAGAACUAUCUUCUUGGCAUGCACCUCUUUCACAACACCUCGCAUAAGGUUAACACCACACUAGCGCAAAAAGUUCAUAUUUCAUAUUAGGUCUCCAAACUAACAAAAAAUGUCAACCAGGAAACUGAAUGCAAAUGAACUAACCUUGGUCAGGUGGUUCGUUGCGUACUGCCUCAAUCCAACAUCAAAGGAUGACAGUAUUUCAUUUGCCUGUUCCAGUAAAUCACAUAAUUAUGAUCAGUGACAAAAUAAUUUUUUCUUGGUAAAAAGUCAUAUAUAGGAGUGAAUGAGUAACAAGUACCUCAAUGAGGGUGACUUUGAUGUAAUCCUUAACAUGAGUAUACCGUUCACGGACAUCUUUCAUGAUGAAAUCACUCAAUUCGCCACUGAACUCCACCCCGGUAGGGCCACCUCCAAUAACAACACAAUGCAGGAGGCGUUUCCUUUCUUCCUCAGAUAUGCCUGAAAAUGAAUGUGAUAAGAUGAUUUAGAGAGUAAAUCCAAUGUUUGACAUUUUUAUGUAGAGAUUGAGGAGGCUCACCUGGAUUUUCAGAGAGCAUCAAGUUCAAGAGAAGCUUCUUUCUAAUUUCUUGGGCAUGAUACACUUCUCGGAGGAAAAAUGCAUGCUCCGCAACACCUUUGAUACCAAAUGUCAAGGGCUCAGAUCCAGCUGCUAUGACAAGCUUGUCAUAGGCAACUCUGAAUCUGUAAGGAUCACUAGGCAAAUCACCAUGGCCGACUGUCUCACAGUACACCUAUAUGAAAUACGAAGAUCAAGUUUAUCUGCUGCUAUGACCAAUCAACAGAGAAGCUGUUAUUCCAUCUUCCUUAUUGUACAGUCUAAAUAUUAAUAAUGUUCCAUGGAAAAAAGUAAAUUGUCCAUUUUGAAAAAAUCAGCUUCUGAUUUCAGAUCAAACUUCAACUUGAAGAACAUACAUCUUGUCUCAAAUUGAGCCUAGUAUGUAUUACUUCACUAGAACUCCAUUAGGAGAGACUUUUGACAUCAGAACUUAUAUUGUUACUUCAUUUCAAAACCCGAUAUCUGAGUCAGAUUUACAGCACCAUUAAAUCAUGAAAGAAAUACAUGGGGAACAUCAUUGUGUUAAUGAAAUUAGUGAGAAAAUAAUCUUGAAUUACAUGCUAUUUACGACACUGCACAGAUAAACCUGAAACCAAAAUUUUGAUGAACAAAUCUUGACUAGACAAAGUAAGAAUAGAAUUUGAUUACCUCAUGUUUCUGUGUGUCAAUACUAAAGCAAUUAGCCAGAUAGAAGUAUGAAUUGGGAUUCGUUGCUAAUGCAGACUGUAUACGACUGACAGGUUCAGCAACUGAACGGAAUUCCAAAGUACCAACACAAGUUGAAGGAAGCAAAGGAGUAAAAACCAUGUGAUUACGCGGAGAUAUGCAAACAACAUCAUAAAUCUUGGUGUCUAGUCCCUUAAGGAAUCGACAGGCAGCCCAGCCAGUACCAAGGACAACCACUCUUGGCUUUUCACCUGGCUUAGUUGCCUGUAGUCCUGGAUACUUGGGAUCAUUACACUCUGAAUCAGACUCCUCAACAAUAAUUUCGGCAGAAGGAUAUUUAUAACUUGGGGUUGUCCUUAGUCCCCUGCUCCAAUAGCUACUGUGAUUCACCUUUGGAAUGCUGGAAAGGUAUGAGAAAUUUCUGUUUCUGGCAUCGUUCUCAAGCGAAGGUAAGGAACAAUAUUUGCGUGUGGAUGCUCCCUCAGAGAACAUAUCCUUCUCACUUCUGUGACCACCAUAGGCACCUCCAGACCUUCUGUAGCUGCUCCUAGCAGUCCUAGCAAUCCUUUCAAAUGCCAUUGUGAGAGUAUCAGUCCCUCAAUCAAGACUUAUAUGUACUCUCUGAACUAUCUAAACGGAAUCAAAUUCUUGGUUGCUCAACCUGUGGAAUUGAACAGUAGACAAAGAAGUGAGCAAUGAGAAUAGUAAACAGAGAGGUUAACAUUUGAUGGCACACAUAUUUAUAGGUAGCUGUAUGUACCACUCCAAAAAAUGUGGAGAGGUCAUGACACUAGGCAGGACAAAUUAAGAUCUAGUCCAUUCUAAAACAAAGCAAGUUCAUAAUGGACAACGAUUGCUUCCAAGAUUAAUUGACAAGAAAACAAAAACCAACAUAGCUUUGGUCAUCAGUCGAUGGCAGAAACAAAGAGAAAGCUCUUGUAAAUUUAGCAGCUAAUAAAAAGCUAAAAAUGACAGUAUCUUUUUACUUCUACAUUGCCAAAGGCACAUAAUAAUCGACAAACCCAACUCAUCAUUCUUUCUACUACAGUGAUUAUUAUGUCAAAUUUAGAAUCUCAGCCAUCACAAUCAUGAAUACUCUAAUGUAUAAAGCUAGGCUCAAUUAAAUGGCAACAACCAAAAUAUCUAAGCAGAAAGCUCUCUGCUUUAUAUGAAAAAUCAACAUGAAAGACAGAAAUUGGUAAACCCAGAACAAGAAAAGAACUUUCAAGAUCAAAGACCAAUCUGCAGUAGAAAAAACCCAGAUCUUAUACACACCCAAUAAAAAGAAGCAGAAAAUGCAUACAAAAUGAGGAAUACAAAACCAUUGAAAAGCAAUGGAACAUGAACAUAUAACACCAAUAAAAAUGUGAUCUUUAUGAAUAAAAAAGUUAUCAUUAUGAAGCUGAAGGGUUUAGAAGAUUUACUGGGGUUUUGGUUUACACAGAGCUGCGUGAUCUCCAAGAUUAUGGGAGUGUAGCUUUUUUUAAUCCAAAUGUGAAAUGCCAACAGAUCGCUGAAGACUUGGUGUUUGUAAAAAAAAAAUUGAGAAUUGCAAAAAUGGUGAGAGUGGGGAGUUGAAAGGAGCCAACUUGGGGAGCAAGAAAGUUGGUUUGUUGAGAUUUGAGAAGUGCUUUUUGAUCAAGUAGUGGUCAAAAAAAGUUGGUGAUGAUAAAAAAAAAAACUGGAAGAGAAAAUUACAAAGGGUGUGUGUGUUGGUUCUGUUUGUGUGGGAAGGAAGUUCAAGCAUCAAGCAUAUGCCUUGUCUGGCAUUUUGGUAAAUCAGAGUUGUCUGAAAAGAGAACACAGAGCAGGCUUGGCAAUUGCAGUGUCGUUUUUGUGUGGUUGAAUCAGUAAAACAGGUUUUUGAAUUAGCUGCAGCCUCCACCUGUAUGUGUGUAAGACCUGUUUGGCUCCCUUAAACCCUGAAGCUCUCCCCUAAAACCCUCCUAAAACCCUAGUCAAUGGUGAAUGAGACAAAGAGUGAAGAUUUGCCAAAUAUCUAGUAGGCGGCUGUAAUUUCAUUCCAUUUUCAUUUCAUUCGCAUUUAUGAUCAAUUAUUUCCUAUUUUGGGGACUCAAUGAGUUUUGGACUGAGUUUGGUCAGAAAAUUUAGAGAUGGGCCUACGUGUCUGAUCCAGGUCUUUUGUGUCACAUCCAAAUGACUUCAGCAGCUACAUUGAGUUUGUUUUGCUUGUCAAAUUACGUUUGAGAAACUCAAACAUGCUUUUGCUUUUGCAAUGUUUGUUUGAUCGGCAAGAUAAUUCUUUUAAGGAUUAGGCAACUUGUUAGUGACGAUAUUAAACCAAAAAAAAA
RNAcentral lists this long non-coding RNA (13921 nucleotides) under Fragaria vesca (wild strawberry). RNAcentral describes it as "long non-coding RNA (FVES_LNC001138)". Lineage: Eukaryota; Viridiplantae; Streptophyta; Magnoliopsida; Rosales; Rosaceae. The record is from RNAcentral.